This 447-nucleotide ribosomal RNA is filed under the name uncultured bacterium. RNAcentral describes it as "bacterial SSU rRNA". It matches the Rfam family "Bacterial small subunit ribosomal RNA", at positions 342 to 807 of the family's 1533-position model. The record is from RNAcentral.
CGGGAGGCAGCAGUUAGGAAUCUUCGGCAAUGGGGGAAACCCUGACCGAGCGACACUGCUUGAAGGAUGAAGGUUUUCGGAUCGUAAACUUCUGAACGAGGGACGAAAAAUGACGGUACCUCGCUAAUAGCACCGGCUAACUCCGUGCCAGCAGCCGCGGUAAUACGGAGGGUGCAAGCGUUAUCCGGAAUCACUGGGCGUAAAGGGCGCGUAGGCGGUUUGUUAAGUCCGAUGUUAAAGACCGAGGCUCAACCUCGACACGGCGUUGGAUACUGGCAAGCUGGACGGUUGGAGAGGAAGGUAGAAUUACCAGUGUAGCGGUGGAAUGCGUAGAUACUGGUAGGAAUACCCAUUGCGAAGGCAGCCUUCUGGACAACACGUGACGCUGAGGCGCGAAAGUGUGGGGAGCAAACCGGAUUAGAUACCCGGGUAGUCCACACCCUAAAC